This 330-nucleotide ribosomal RNA is filed under the name uncultured bacterium. RNAcentral's name for it is "bacterial SSU rRNA". It matches the Rfam family "Bacterial small subunit ribosomal RNA", at positions 568 to 898 of the family's 1533-position model. The record is from RNAcentral.
CGUGUAGGCGGCUCAUCAAGUCUGGUGUGAAAGCGCAAGGCUCAACCUUGCGUAUGCGCUGGAAACUGGUGGGCUGGAGUUCCUGAGGGGAAGCUGGAAUUCCAGGUGUAGGGGUGAAAUCUGUAGAUAUCUGGAAGAACACCGGUGGCGAAGGCGAGCUUCUAUCAGAGGACUGACGCUGAGGCGCGAAAGCGUGGGGAGCAAACAGGAUUAGAUACCCUGGUAGUCCACGCUGUAAACGAUGUGCACUAGGCGUGGGGCACGUACGUGUUCUGUGCCGUAGUUAACGUGAUAAGUGCACCGCCUGGGGAGUAUGCUCGCAAGGGUGAA